GACGAACGCUGGCGGCGUGCUUAACACAUGCAAGUCGAGCGAUGAAGUUCCUUCGGGAAUGGAUUAGCGGCGGACGGGUGAGUAACACGUGGGUAACCUGCCUCAUAGAGGGGAAUAGCCUUUCGAAAGGAAGAUUAAUACCGCAUAAGAUUGUAGUAUCGCAUGAUACAGCAAUUAAAGGAGUAAUCCGCUAUGAGAUGGACCCGCGUCGCAUUAGCUAGUUGGUGAGGUAACGGCUCACCAAGGCGACGAUGCGUAGCCGACCUGAGAGGGUGAUCGGCCACAGCGGGACUGAGACACGGCCCAGACUCCUACGGGAGGCAGCAGUGGGAGUAUUGCACAAUGGGGGGAACCCUGAUGCAGCGACGCCGCGUGAGUGAUGACGGUCUUCGGAUUGUAAAACUCUGUCUUCAGGGACGAUAAUGACGGUACCUGAGGAGGAAGCCACGGCUAACUACGUGCCAGCAGCCGCCGUAA
This 477-nucleotide ribosomal RNA is filed under the name uncultured bacterium. RNAcentral describes it as "partial 16S ribosomal RNA". It matches the Rfam family "Bacterial small subunit ribosomal RNA", at positions 28 to 523 of the family's 1533-position model. The record is from RNAcentral.